GCCAGGCGUGGUGGCUCACGCCUGUAAUCCCAGCGCUUUGGGAGGCCGAGACAGGUGGAUUACCUGAGGUCAGGAGUUCGAGACCAGCCUGGCCAACAUGGUAAAACCCCGUCUCUA
RNAcentral lists this non-coding RNA (117 nucleotides) under Pongo abelii (Sumatran orangutan). The record is from Rfam by way of RNAcentral. Lineage: Eukaryota; Metazoa; Chordata; Mammalia; Primates; Hominidae.